Molecule: long non-coding RNA, 618 nt
Organism: Lingula anatina
Lineage: Eukaryota; Metazoa; Brachiopoda; Lingulata; Lingulida; Lingulidae
Source: RefSeq, a predicted model, not a curated record
CACAUGAAUCACAGCACGCUGAAAAUAGAAUGGUAUUUCGGGUUCGCCAGACGACUUAUGAUUAUAUAAUAUUACGUCAUCAGGCAGUAACGUAAUAUUAUGGUCAAUAGAUGGCGUUGCAUAACACAGGACCGACUAGACUGCACUCCAUAGCGACAGGUUCAGGUGUGCAGACAAAAUAUCCUUACAUGAUGAGUACACAACCAAGUGAAUCCAAGUGAAUCUUUUUGGGAGGCAAAUGAGUAAUUAUACUACUUAUAAAGGAAUUUGAACUGUAGGGACCCUACUUAUGUCCAAGGGAUGACACAUCCACUGUCAUGUUACCAGAGAGUUUCUUGUAAAACAAGGUCCAGUACCCAUUGAUUUGUACAGGUAAGAUUUUGACCCGCUUACGUCAGGUUAACUUUUACCUGUAUGAACCUAAUGGAGGACGGACCACUUGUUGCAGGGACCGUCAGUUUUUUAACACCGACUUCAGUGGAGAUCGAUACUCGCAUUUGGCUUAUUGCAGCCGCCUGGGAUGCCAAUUUAUUCUAAGAACUGAAGUUCGAAUCACUACGUCACAUCAGUCACUUGACUUUGCAGUGUUGAAAUAUUGCUCAUUUUGAGCAAAAAAAA